RNAcentral lists this microRNA (23 nucleotides) under Chrysemys picta bellii (western painted turtle). RNAcentral's name for it is "Cpi-Mir-9584_5p (mature (co-guide))". RNAcentral also lists the same sequence under 1 other name. The record is from RNAcentral. Lineage: Eukaryota; Metazoa; Chordata; Testudines; Emydidae.
CUGUGACUGUUUAGAUGGUCGUG